AUGAGUUGUAUCAGCUGGAACUGCCGGGGGCUUGGGAACCCCGAGGUAGUUCGCGAGCUUCACAAUGUGGUGAAGCAAGAAGGGCCAGCCCUACUCUUUGUUAUGAAGACGAAGAUCGGGGAUGACAGAGUAGAGGAUCUGAAGUUUACCUUGGGUUUCUCUGGUUGUUUUGCAGUUAAUAGCAUCGGUCUUAGUGGAGGCAUCAGAUUAUUUUGGUCCAAGGAUGUAUCCGUUGAGCUCAAAAACUAUAGUUCUGGCCACAUUGAUGUGUUGGUGCGGAGGACAGAUCAAAGCUCGUUCGAGUGGAUAUUUACUGGGUUCUAUGGUGCGCCUAGGGUCGGGGAUCGUCAUCACAGUUGGCGUCUUGUAUGA
This 372-nucleotide ribosomal RNA is filed under the name Triticum aestivum (bread wheat). RNAcentral's name for it is "partial small subunit ribosomal RNA". The record is from RNAcentral. Lineage: Eukaryota; Viridiplantae; Streptophyta; Magnoliopsida; Poales; Poaceae.